AACCUAUUAGCUCAACGGGUAGAGCACUAUGCACUAUGCAUAGGGGAUGCAGGUUCGAUUCCUACAUAGGUUG
This is a non-coding RNA of Spinacia oleracea (spinach), 73 nucleotides long. The record is from Rfam. Lineage: Eukaryota; Viridiplantae; Streptophyta; Magnoliopsida; Caryophyllales; Amaranthaceae.